UACGGAGGAUGCAAGCGUUAUCCGGAAUGAUUGGGCGUAAAGCGUCCGCAGGUGGCUGUGUAAGUCUGCUGUUAAAGAGUGAGGCUCAACCUCAUAAAAGCAGUGGAAACUACACGGCUAGAGUGCGUUCGGGGCAGAGGGAAUUCCUGGUGUAGCGGUGAAAUGCGCAGAUAUCAGGAAGAACACCGGUGGCGAAAGCGCUCUGCUAGGCCGCAACUGACACUGAGGGACGAAAGCUAGGGGAGCGAAUGGG
RNAcentral lists this ribosomal RNA (253 nucleotides) under uncultured bacterium. RNAcentral's name for it is "partial 16S ribosomal RNA". It matches the Rfam family "Bacterial small subunit ribosomal RNA", at positions 524 to 776 of the family's 1533-position model. The record is from RNAcentral.